ACCUUAUGAUUUGGGCAUUACAUUAAUUUAUCAUUUAACCUUUUCCAAACUUCAUACAAUGGUUCGCCACUAAGUUGUCGAAAAGUUAUGAUCUCAUCCCUUAGUUU
Molecule: non-coding RNA, 107 nt
Organism: Capsicum annuum
Lineage: Eukaryota; Viridiplantae; Streptophyta; Magnoliopsida; Solanales; Solanaceae
Source: Rfam